RNAcentral lists this ribosomal RNA (306 nucleotides) under uncultured bacterium. RNAcentral describes it as "partial 16S ribosomal RNA". It matches the Rfam family "Bacterial small subunit ribosomal RNA", at positions 507 to 808 of the family's 1533-position model. The record is from RNAcentral.
GACAGCAGUCGCGCGGGAAAACGUAGGUGGCAAGCGUUGUCCGGAAUUAUUGGGCGUAAAGGGCUCGCAGGCGGUUUCUUAAGUCUGAUGUGAAAGCCCCCGGCUCAACCGGGGAGGGUCAUUGGAAACUGGGAAACUUGAGUGCAGAAGAGGAGAGUGGAAUUCCACGUGUAGCGGUGAAAUGCGUAGAGAUGUGGAGGAACACCAGUGGCGAAGGCGACUCUCUGGUCUGUAACUGACGCUGAGGAGCGAAAGUGUGGGGAGCGAACAGGAUUAGAUACCCGGGUAGUCCCUGUCUCUUAUACA